GAUGAACGCUGGCGGCGUGCCUAACACAUGCAAGUCGAGCGGCAGCGAGGGGUGCUUGCACCCUGUCGGCGAGCGGCGGACGGCUGAGUAACGCGUGGGAACGUGCCCCAAAGUGAGGAAUAACUGCCCGAAAGGGUAGCUAAUACCGCAUAUUAUCUUCGGAUCAAAGGAUUUAUCCGCUUUGGGAGCGGCUCGCGUCGGAUUAGGUAGUUGGUGAGUUAAUGGCUCACCAAGCCGACGAUCCGUAGCUGGUCUGAGAGGAUGACCAGCCAGACUGGAACUGAGACACGGUCCAGACUCCUACGGGAGGCAGCAGUGAGGAAUCUUCCACAAUGGGCGAAAGCCUGAUGGAGCAACGCCGCGUGCAGGACGAAGGCCUUCGGGUUGUAAACUGCUUUUAUAAGUGAGGAAUAUGACGGUAACUUAUGAAUAAGGAUCGGCUAACUACGUG
This 451-nucleotide ribosomal RNA is filed under the name uncultured bacterium. RNAcentral's name for it is "partial 16S ribosomal RNA". It matches the Rfam family "Bacterial small subunit ribosomal RNA", at positions 28 to 507 of the family's 1533-position model. The record is from RNAcentral.